GGAUGCGAUCAUACCAGCACUAAAGCACCGGAUCCCAUCCGAACUCCGAAGUUAAGCGUGCUUUGGCGAGAGUAGUACUAGGAUGGUGACCUCCUGGGAAGUCCUCGUGUUGCAUUCC
RNAcentral lists this ribosomal RNA (118 nucleotides) under Triticum aestivum (bread wheat). The record is from RNAcentral. Lineage: Eukaryota; Viridiplantae; Streptophyta; Magnoliopsida; Poales; Poaceae.